This 214-nucleotide ribosomal RNA is filed under the name uncultured Thauera sp. RNAcentral's name for it is "partial 16S ribosomal RNA". It matches the Rfam family "Bacterial small subunit ribosomal RNA", at positions 1169 to 1382 of the family's 1533-position model. The record is from RNAcentral. Lineage: Bacteria; Pseudomonadati; Pseudomonadota; Betaproteobacteria; Rhodocyclales; Zoogloeaceae.
GGAAGUGGGGAUGACGUCAAGUCCUCAUGGCCCUUAUGGGUAGGGCUUCACACGUCAUACAAUGGUCGGUACAGAGGGUUGCCAAGCCGCGAGGUGGAGCCAAUCCCUUAAAGCCGAUCGUAGUCCGGAUCGUAGUCUGCAACUCGACUACGUGAAGUCGGAAUCGCUAGUAAUCGCAGAUCAGCAUGCUGCGGUGAAUACGUUCCCGGGUCUU